AACGCACCUUGCGCUCCUUGGUAUUCCGAGGAGCAUGCCUGUUUGAGUGUCGUGAAAUCUUCAAACCCCUUUGGUUUUUCCGGAGGGUGCUUUGGUUUUGAGGGUCUGUCGGCGGUUGUCGACUCCCUUUCAAAAGCAUUAGCCUCUUCCAUUUCCUCUUCUUUUCUCUUGGCGUGAUAGUCCAUCUGCGCCUGGCUCCGAAAGGAAAAGGGAAGAAGCUUUCAACUCUUUUCAAUUUAAACCUUUGACCUCAAAUCAGGUAGGAUUACCCGCUGAACUUAA
Molecule: unclassified non-coding RNA, 282 nt
Filed under: uncultured fungus
Lineage: Eukaryota; Fungi
Description: partial contains 5.8S rRNA and ITS2
Rfam family: 5.8S ribosomal RNA (bases 1-52)
Source: RNAcentral